UGCCAGCAGCCGCGGUAAUACGGGGGGAGCAAGCGUUGUCCGGAAUUACUGGGCGUAAAGCGCGUGUAGGCGGCAUGUUAAGUCGACUGUGAAAGCCCAUAGCUCAACCCCGGAAGUGCACUUGAAACAGCAAGACUUGAAUACGGUAGAGGAGAGAGGAAUUCCUGGUGUAGAGGUGAAAUUCGUAGAUAUCAGGAGGAACACCGAUGGCGAAGGCAUCUCUCUAGGCCGAUAUUGACGCUGAGGCGCGAAGGCGUGGGUAGCGAACGGGAUUAGAUA
RNAcentral lists this ribosomal RNA (279 nucleotides) under uncultured bacterium. RNAcentral describes it as "partial 16S ribosomal RNA". It matches the Rfam family "Bacterial small subunit ribosomal RNA", at positions 506 to 784 of the family's 1533-position model. The record is from RNAcentral.